RNAcentral lists this long non-coding RNA (217 nucleotides) under Phoenix dactylifera (date palm). RNAcentral's name for it is "long non-coding RNA (PDAC_LNC014620)". The record is from RNAcentral. Lineage: Eukaryota; Viridiplantae; Streptophyta; Magnoliopsida; Arecales; Arecaceae.
UAGACAUGUUAAAUAGCUUUGGGGAGACAUCAGACAUGUUAGCAUGGUUAUUCCUGAAUUAGAUGGUGCUCUGUAGACUGUAGUUAUCUUUCAUUAUUUUUCAUCAAAUGUACUUCAUCAAAAAAGAAAACCAUGAUUAAUGUACUUCAUCAAAUGGUAUAUACUGAUUAGUGAUUACUGAUUACUGAACAAAGGGAUUUUUGGUCCAAUUAUAGGU